AGUGAACGCUGGCGGUAGGCCUAACACAUGCAAGUCGAACGGCAGCACAGUAAGAGCUUGCUCUUACGGGUGGCGAGUGGCGGACGGGUGAGGAAUACAUCGGAAUCUACUUUUUCGUGGGGGAUAACGUAGGGAAACUUACGCUAAUACCGCAUACGACCUACGGGUGAAAGCAGGGGAUCUUCGGACCUUGCGCGAUUGAAUGAGCCGAUGUCGGAUUAGCUAGUUGGCGGGGUAAAGGCCCACCAAGGCGACGAUCCGUAGCUGGCCUGAGAGGAUGAUCAGCCACACUGGAACUGAGACACGGUCCAGACUCCUACGGGAGGCAGCAGUGGGGAAUAUUGGACAAUGGGCGCAGGCCUGAUCCAGCCAUACCGCGUGGGUGAAGAAGGCCUUCGGGUUGUAAAGCCCUUUUGUUGGGAAAGAAAAGCAGCAGGUUAAUACCCCGCUGUUCUGACGGUACCCAAAGAAUAGGCACCGGCUAACUUCGUG
This 492-nucleotide ribosomal RNA is filed under the name uncultured bacterium. RNAcentral's name for it is "partial 16S ribosomal RNA". It matches the Rfam family "Bacterial small subunit ribosomal RNA", at positions 29 to 507 of the family's 1533-position model. The record is from RNAcentral.